CACAAUCGAGUAUGUGCACUGAACUAUAUAGAUUUGUUUAUUCGGCCUUAAUUUACGCUACCACAAUACAUGGAUUUUAUCAUUCAUAGUUCAUACAUCUGAUUCCUUAAAUAAGCCAACAUGUGAGAUAAAUGGUUGCAGCAAUGAAAAGAGGGAAAGGAUGGACCCCUGAUGUGUAUGACUUUGUGGACAGCACACAUUUUAUUGAUGCAAACUUUGAUGAUAUAAUGAAAAAUCUGAAACCCUCAGCUAUUCCUACAAUAUUUCAGUGUCAUAACGAUGCAGCUUCCUGGCCAGUUUAAAAGAAGGAAAAAUAAAGUCUUAAGGUGAAAGAAGAAAUUGUACAAUUCAAAGAGACUUCUGAUAUAUUAUAAAAAGAAAGUUCAAUGUUUAUGAGAGGAGUUAUAGAAAAGCCAACCUCACCUAAAACAGUUAUGAUGAUUUAUCUUUACAUCUGUUUGAGGAGCCUACAGGAAAUGCAAAUUAUACAGAUGAAAAAAUAUCCUUCACAAUAACAUUGCACUUUUACUGUCCUAAUGCGUAUGAGUUCCUUUCUACCACGUUUAACCUGCCUUCAACCAGAACACUAAGAAGAUGAUGUUGGCAAGUUUACCUUCAUCUAUUUCAGUCAUGAUUGCCUUUAUAUGUGGACAAAUAAGCCUAUACAGUAUUUCCAAGAAUGAGAACUUUGCAGGGUAGAGUCAUUUGACUUACAAGCCUCUUAGAGACCACUGGGACAUUGUUCUGGGCUGCCUUUGGUAUGGGGAACUCUCAGGCACCAGCUAUUUAAGAAGAAGCAAAUAGCAGUCAGGUUAAUGGUGACUCAGAGAUAACAGACAGUGUGCUGCUGAAAGUCAUUGAGGUGAUUGGCUACGUUUUGUAUGGAGUUUACAUUCUUGAUGCUGUCGUGGUCCUGAUCAACUUGUUCAUUGCUAUGAUGAAUUUGAAGACAUUUAGAAUGUCCAAAAGAUUAGUCAGCUAAGGAGCCUAAAAUGUUAGCCUGUUUACAAAUAUGAGAUCUUCCUUGACUACACAAGUACCUUACAAAAGAAGGCUACUCACUUGUGUUUGGAUAUGUCAGCUGUUUUGUCCCUGUGGCCCUUUUCAAGCAUGACAGAUACCAUUCUAAGCAGCUUUUUUCUCUGGAAAUUAUUCAACCACAGAAGCUGUGAGGGAUAUCUGAAAUCCAUUGCUUACUUGUCUAGAAAGACUUCCAUCGAUUGAGUGAUAAAAGAUUAAGUGUACACAACUUUUAGUAGUCACCACAUAACACUUAACAUUUUGCUGCUCAAGACAAUACUGUUCAUGAAUGGUUUAUUUUUCUUUAUGCUGAGUGUGUCCAAGAAAGAUAAGGUCAAAGGUUAAUUGGACAAACAAUAAACUUUGUCUUUGAAUCUGAAAUUGUAGAACUUGUAGAGAAAAACAACUUUGUGUUGUUUUUUUUUAAUUUACCAGGUACCAGGUACCUUCUAUUCAUUUACUUUGACUGUUGACUUUAAGUUAGAAAUUAAGGAAAGAUUUCUUUGAGCUAUAUUUGUCAAUGAUCAUAGGCAUUAAGAGAGUUGACACCUCAUUUUACUUUUCAACAAGAUGAUGUCUUAAAAAAAUUAAGAGCUUUUGAUGGAAUUCUGUGGUUGAAUAACAUAAGGAAUAAUCACAGGAUUCCAUCAAAAUCAUUGCAAUUUGAACAUUGUUGGUAGUGUCAAUGUUAUUAAGUUUUUUAGUUCUUGGUGUUAUUACAGUAUUCAUUUUCUAGUGACCAGGCAGUGUUUUAUACCAUGAAUGAAUAUGUAAGAGGUUUAAGGUAUACCACUCAAUCAAUAAUAUCUUUGACAAUAAAAUAUUUUGAUCAAGUUUAUAUUUUUGGAACAGAAUAUGCUAAUGUGUUAAAUGUACAUUUUUCUUUUUUUUUAUGGAAUAACAACUGAUAUUUAGUUUUAUCCCUUUGUAUCUUUCUACAGUAGAUGCACUGUCAUACUAAAAAGAAAUUUUAAAAAAUUAUAAUAACUUCUAAUCAAAUUGUCUCCCUUUUAAAAUCAAAUAUCUAAAUGAAUCAUGCUACUUUGAUUCUACACAAUCUACAGGACUACCAAUGUACAUUAGUUUUGAACAAAAAGUUGCUAACUUUAAAUAAUUAACUCAUUUUGAUAUUUAUGUAUACCUUGUAAUAAAAGUGGCAUUCAUUUUACAAUUUCAUUUUUUUUAUUGUAACUGGUCUGUGUUAAUUUCUUUUUUUUUUUCAAAUUACUUUGUAUUGCCUAUAUGGGGAAAUGGUAUUUCUGUUGUUUCUUUGCUCAGCAAAAACAAAUCAGGAUUUGAACUCAAGCCCCCUUGACAGUGGUUUAUGCCAGAUAUCCAGCAUUUCAUGCAGUUUGUAGGCCAAAUUUGAUACUCACAGUGCCCCAGUGCAGGUAGAAAGAGGAAACCUUGCCUCAUUAAUGUUUGCUGCUCCAGACUUGCUUCUCUCUAUCUCAACUGAUCUAGGAAGCACUACAGCUGGGUUUCAGUCCACUGCAUUGGCUAGAGAGGAUUUCAGUCUCUCAGGCUGCAACUUAAAUGAAGUCUGAUGUGAUUUUAUUCUUUAAAAGUUGUAUGGAUGUCUUUAAGCUACAUAACUUAUCCUAGUCCAAUGUGUUGAUUGACAUAGUUACCAGGUACUGGUACUAAGAAAAUUGCCGCUUUUAUCCUCCCCUUCCAGCAACCCUUAGAUCUAGUUUUUCUAAAUUUCUAGUAGUUUAAUAGUGCUUUUCCAUAUGUCAUUAAAAAGUUAUGUUAAAAGUUAA
Molecule: long non-coding RNA, 2783 nt
Organism: Biomphalaria glabrata
Lineage: Eukaryota; Metazoa; Mollusca; Gastropoda; Planorbidae
Exons: 8
Source: RefSeq, a predicted model, not a curated record